Molecule: long non-coding RNA, 1365 nt
Organism: Fukomys damarensis (Damara mole-rat)
Lineage: Eukaryota; Metazoa; Chordata; Mammalia; Rodentia; Bathyergidae
Exons: 3
Source: RefSeq, a predicted model, not a curated record
AACGGCUGCCGCCAUCUUCCCCCGGCUCUGGUGGUGGCGUGGCGCGAUGACGCAAACACACCGCGCCGGGCGCCUCCGAGUGAGUGAGCGUGAGGAGGGGGCUGUGGUCCUGCGCACUGGUUAAACGGAGCUCUCUGGACCCACAAGAGGACAGGACACUGGUCUGGGCUGGUCUGGACUGAUCACUGGAUGAGAAAUUCAGCUGUGGGUCCCAUUACUCUUAGAUCAAGAAGGGCUCACCUGGACAACUGCUGGGAGGCCUGCCCAGAUGAGUCAACUCCCCUAAAAAUUACCCUGAGGAAACAACACACCUAAAGCCCUGUACCUACCACUCUGGAAGCUGACAGGCCUAUGCACAGCUGACACUCCAACUUUGGAAUGAACUGUGGACAACUGAGCUGCUUGUUUUAUGAGGUGUUGGGACUAAUUACCCUUGUUUGUUACUGUUAGUUGGCUUCUGGUAUGCCAUACCACUACAUAUGCAACUGUACAAAGAUGUUUCCUAUUGUUGAUCUGUAUCUGCUCCUACUUGGUCUGCUUGGCCUUUAUUCUUGCCAGGCAAACUCAGGGCACUGGGAGUUCCAAGCCCAACUUUAUGGCACCAAUCCCAUGGUGAUCCUCAACAGGACUAGAUGGGAUCCCUCCCAGCCUACUGUGUAUUUGUAUUUCGAUGCAUGUCCUAUUGAAACCAAAAACCCAGGCCAGAAUUCCUAUUUCACGGGGUGUGGAGGGUUAAGCUGGGAACGAGAAUAUCAAACCAAUAACAAAUAUGUCUGUCCUGAAUGGCGCCAGCCACCUGGAGGCCAAGGGCGUCUGAGCCACUGUAGGGAUAUUCUAGAUUGGUUCUGCCUCUAUUGGGACUGCCCCAUGGACUAUGGGGGAUACCUGAAUACACCCUUAACCCAGCUCCCAUCGAACCCUAAUUGCCAACAAGGGACUUGUAACCCUAUAAGAUACACUAUCCAGGACCCCACCAACCAAGAGUGGGCAAACAGUCGCCGGAUGAGUGUCCGAGUAGAUGGUAGGGGAAGAGACCCGGGGGUAAUCAUAAGAAUCCAAAAAGUCUGGGCCCCUUCACCCCCUGUCAUUAUACCUACACCAAGGCCACCACUGUUCCCAUUGGCCCCUGAGCCCAAGGGAAACCUUACUGAUCCACCCACACCUAACCUGCAUACCUCUUGAACACAUACACAAUCUAAUCAUAGUGUACUUUGAUAUGUUCAAACAAAGGGGGGGAAAUAAAGCAGGAAAUGAAUUGCUCUCAGUUGGAAGACCCCAUCCUUUAGUAAGCCUUUUGUUUUCCAGUAAGUUUUUGUUUUUCAAGAAUGAUGUAACCUCUUGAGCCUCUUCCUGCCAUAUGUAAAA